RNAcentral lists this ribosomal RNA (1887 nucleotides) under human gut metagenome. Its description in RNAcentral is "bacterial LSU rRNA". It matches the Rfam family "Bacterial large subunit ribosomal RNA", at positions 1154 to 2925 of the family's 2925-position model. The record is from RNAcentral.
UGGUUCCGCGCCGACAAUGUAGCGGGGCUCAAGCACACCACCGAAGACGCGGCAGUAUUUUGUACUGGGUAGGAGAGCGUCCCAUGAGGGGCGAAGCGGCCGUGUGAACGCGCCGUGGACUUCAUGGGAGUGAGAAUGCAGACAUGAGUAGCGAGAGACGGGUGAAGAUCCCGUCCGCUGGAUGACCAAGGGUUCCAGGGCCACGUUCAUCGUCCCUGGGUGAGUCGGGUCCUAAGGCGAGGCCGACAGGCGUAGUCGAAUGGAUGAACGGGUCGAUAUUCCCGUACCGGCUUUCAGCCGCCAAAACCGAGGCUUGGAGUACUAACCUCCGGGUCCGGGCUUACUGCUCCUUCGGGGGCGGGAUGCCCUGGCCUGUUGGGACCGAUCCUUGUAGUAGGUCAGCGCAGGAGUGACGCAGAAGGGUAGCCGGCCGCGGAGGUGGUCUUCCGUGGUCAAGCACGCAGGGCGUGGGACAGGCAAAUCCGUCCCGCAUGGGUCCGAGGUGCGAUGAUGGGGGCCUUAUGGCCCGAUAUCCGGUGAUCCCGGCUGCCGAGAAAAGCUUCGGCGUCAGGCUCAAAGCCGCCCGUACCCCAAACCGACACUGGUGGUCAGGUAGAGAAUACCAAAGCGAUCGAGCGAAUCCUGGUCAAGGAACUCGGCAAAUCACUCCCGUUCCUUCGGUUUAAGGGAGACCCCCGAUGGUGAACACACUUGCUGUGGGAGCUUUUGGGGGUGGCACAGACCAGGGGGUAGCGACUGUUUACCAAAAACACAGGUGCAUGCGAAGGCGCAAGCCGCUGUAUAUGCACUGACGCCUGCCCGGUGCCGGAAGGUUAAGAGGAUCCGUCAGCCUUCGGGUGAAGCGGUGAAUUCAAGCCCCGGUAAACGGCGGUGGUAACUAUAACCAUCCUAAGGUAGCGAAAUUCCUUGUCGGGUAAGUUCCGACCUGCACGAAUGGCGUAACGACUUCCCCACUGUCUCGACCAGGAGCUCGGCGAAAUUGCAGUACGAGUAAAGAUGCUCGUUAAGCGCAGAAGGACGAAAAGACCCCGGGACCUUUACUAUACCUUGGUAUUGGCAUUCGGUGUGGAUUGUGUAGCAUAGGCGGGAGGCCGAGAGGCGCGGUCGCCAGAUCGCGCGGAGCCGUAAGGUGAAAUACCGCUCUGUUCGCAUUGGAUGUCUAACCUCGAACAGUCAUCCUGUUCAGGGACAGUGCCUGGCGGGUAGUUUAACUGGGGCGGUUGCCUCCCAAAGAGUAACGGAGGCGCCCAAAGGUCCGCUCAGCCCGGUUGGCAAUCGGGUGGCGAGUGCAAGUGCACAAGCGGGCUUGACUGCGAGGACGACGGUCCGAGCAGGGACGAAAGUCGGGACUAGUGAUCCGGUGCCGGUGUACGGACGCGGCAUCGCUCAACGGAUAAAAGGUACCCCGGGGAUAACAGGCUGAUCAUUCCCAAGAGUCCAUAUCGACGGGAUGGUUUGGCACCUCGAUGUCGGCUCGUCGCAUCCUGGGGCUGGAGCAGGUCCCAAGGGUUCGGCUGUUCGCCGAUUAAAGCGGCACGCGAGCUGGGUUCAGAACGUCGUGAGACAGUUUGGUCUCUAUCCUCUGCGCUCGUUGGAAUCCUGAGGAGGCCUGCCCAUAGUACGAGAGGACCUGGGUGGACGAACCUCUGGUAUGCCGGUUGUCACGCCAGUGGCACGGCCGGUUGGCUACGUUCGGAAGGGAUAACCGCUGAAAGCAUCUAAGCGGGAAGCCUGCUCCAAGAUAAGCAUUCCGUGGAACCUUCGAGUUCCUGUAGUCCCCAUGCAGAACACGUGGUCGAUAGGCCGGACGUGGAAGCCCCGCGAGGGGUGGAGCCGACCGGUACUAACGGACGAAAGGCAACACUA